CAAAAAUUAUCCGGGCCUUAUCCUUCUUAAAACAUCAAAAUGCACCUAGAAUCACAACUAGUUAGAUUUAGACCUAGAACUAUAGGCGUCCAGUGCCAUCUCUCUUCACCACACUACAUUUCCUGAUGGAGUGGACUUUUUAAGUACCUAGGUACUCUGUAUCCAAUGGAACCUGUUCCGGUUGUGUUUCCUGCAUCAUCCUUUUGAGGGCUGGGUGUUCGGCGAAUACACAAGCGAGCAAAUGAUGCUCCCAAGCACCGAUGGAAAGCUGUGUGAAGCGUGGGUUCUUUCCACUUGGGAGCCCUAACAUCACGCCACCACACAGACAGCUAGCCAGACCCCAGGCGGCGCGUUCUGCCGCGGACCGCCGGGCCACCGCGCUGGCCCAGCAGCGCCCCCCUCUGUCCUCCCGCAGCCUUGCAUCGGGUCGCCACUGGCCGCGCGCUUUUUUCCAGGGUAAAGGAAGCUCGGCCUCUGGGCUCCAGGCCUGAUGGGGUGAGGGACUUCUCCCUCCCUAUACGUCCCCCACCCUCCCACAUACACACAUUAAACCCUGACCCAGGGCCGUUUCUGGAUCCAGAGGCACGCGCUUCUUACCCGGCGAGCAAGUCCCGACACCAAGCGUCGUCGGUCCCCUCCCUUCCCAGACAGAUUAACGGGUUAACGCGACGGCGCGCCCACCCGCAGGUUUUAUUUAGGGUUCUGGGGAGACUAGAGGAGAAAGGGGUCGACUAAUGUGUGCGGUGCGUGCGCAGAUAAAACUUUCGCAACGCGUGGGCUUGGCCCCAGCCCCGUCGCGACCCCGGGACGCUCCGGGGCCGCUCUAGGCCUGAACCACACCCGCGCCGGCGGCGCGUCGUCGCCCCUUCUCGGGCCGGGCGGCGGGGCGGAGGCCGCAGUGCCGCGCGAGCAUCUGCAGAACAAAGACUCGGGUCCAGCCCUAGACUGAGAACGGCCGCCGCCGUCUCCCCGGCCCGGCCGCCCUGACCCAGCCAAGCCCGAAACCCACCCGAGCGGCGGGGGCCGGCUCCACGCGCGCUGCCAAACCAGCGGGGACCCGGAGACGACUGAACCCGGAGGCCCCAGGGGGUCAUCGGGAAACGUCUGUUCAUCAAGGCAAACUUGUGAAUUGCUUCUUCUACGGAGUACUUAGUCUGCCCGGAAACACAUGCCUCGAUGUCUUCUGAAUUCAGAUGGCUUUGCAGGAAGAGGUGAAGGCUGCUAUCUGAAAGCAGAAGUGCAUUCUGUAGGACCCUAUGUAAAAGAAAAAAGGAGACAUGACCAGUGGACAGGGAUGGACAAUUAUAGGGUGGGAAAGAGAAAAACAUUAGAAAUAUGCCACUGAAGUAAUUUCUCUACUAUGGCAAACUUGGCAUCAAUUACGACUCUGCCUAUUGAAGGGAUGAAAGCAUAUGUUAACUUUUAUUCGAUGAUUUGGAAACUUAGGUGAGUAAAAACAUGAAGCUAAUAGUUAAGAACAUCUGUUAAAAGAAUAACUUCAAGGACAUUUCUUCAAUUUAACCAUCUGUUAUGACCAUGUGGAUUAAUUAUGGAAAUAUUUUGCUUAGAUAGUCACAGAAAUUUAUUCUGCUUUUAAAAAAAUUUACUGCCAACCAGCAUGUCAAUUCUGUGAUCUUUAUUGUCUAGGCUGUCAUAAAACAUCAAAACUUUCAACUAUUAAAAACUAUAUUGAAAAGUCAA
This is a long non-coding RNA of Orcinus orca (killer whale), 1701 nucleotides long. RefSeq lists it as uncharacterized. The record is from RefSeq and is a predicted model, not a curated record. Lineage: Eukaryota; Metazoa; Chordata; Mammalia; Artiodactyla; Delphinidae. The transcript is spliced from 2 exons.